RNAcentral lists this ribosomal RNA (446 nucleotides) under uncultured bacterium. RNAcentral describes it as "partial 16S ribosomal RNA". It matches the Rfam family "Bacterial small subunit ribosomal RNA", at positions 338 to 795 of the family's 1533-position model. The record is from RNAcentral.
CCUACGGGAGGCAGCAGUCGAGAAUCAUUCACAAUGGGGGAAACCCUGAUGGUGCGACGCCGCGUGGGGGAAUGAAGGUCUUCGGAUUGUAAACCCCUGUCAUGUGGGAGCAAAUUAAAAAGAUAGUACCACACGAGGAAGAGACGGCUAACUCUGUGCCAGCAGCCGCGGUAAUACAGAGGUCUCAAGCGUUGUUCGGAAUCACUGGGCGUAAAGCGUGCGUAGGCUGUUUCGUAAGUCGUGUGUGAAAGGCGCGGGCUCAACCCGCGGACGGCACAUGAUACUGGGAGACUAGAGUAAUGGAGGGGGAACCGGAAUUCUCGGUGUAGCAGUGAAAUGCGUAGAUAUCGAGAGGAACACUCGUGGCGAAGGCGGGUUCCUGGACAUUAACUGACGCUGAGGCACGAAGGCCAGGGGAGCGAAAGGGAUUAGAUACCCUUGUAGUC